AGUGAACGCUGGCGGUAGGCCUAACACAUGCAAGUCGAACGGCAGCUCAGAGGAGCUUGCUCCUUGGGUGGCGGGUGGCGGACGGGUGAGGAAUACAUCGGAAUCUACUCUGUCGUGGGAGAUAACGUAGGGAAACUUACGCUAAUACCGCAUACGACCUACGGGUGAAAGCAGGGGAUCUUCGGACCUUGCGCGAUUGAAUGAGCCGAUGUCGGAUUAGCUAGUUGGCGGGGUAAAGGCCACCAAGGCGACGAUCCGUAGCUGGUCUGAGAGGAUGAUCAGCCACACUGGAACUGAGACACGGUCCAGACUCCUACGGGAGGCAGCAGUGGGGAAUAUUGGACAAUGGGCGCAAGCCUGAUCCAGCCAUACCGCGUGGGUGAAGAAGGCCUUCGGGUUGUAAAGCCCUUUUGUUGGGAAAGAAAUCCAUCUGGUUAAUACCCGGGUGGGAUGACGGUACCCAAAGAAUAAGCACCGGCUAACUUCGUGCCAGCCGCCGCCGUAA
This 505-nucleotide ribosomal RNA is filed under the name uncultured bacterium. RNAcentral's name for it is "partial 16S ribosomal RNA". It matches the Rfam family "Bacterial small subunit ribosomal RNA", at positions 29 to 523 of the family's 1533-position model. The record is from RNAcentral.